This is a non-coding RNA of Empidonax traillii (willow flycatcher), 385 nucleotides long. The record is from the annotation of a RefSeq genome assembly. NCBI's taxonomy places the organism in Eukaryota, Metazoa, Chordata, Aves, Passeriformes, Tyrannidae.
AUGUACUGGGUGCGCCAGAGCCCCGGGAAGGGGCUGGAAUGGCUCGCUGGGAUCUGGAAGGAUGGUUACACCAGAUACGCGCCGUCGCCCCCGAACCUCGACCCUCGACCCCCCAAUCUCCGCGGCCCCUCCGGCUUCACCUUCGGCGACUACGACAUGGGCUGGGCCCGCCAGAGCCCCGGGAAGGGGCCGGAAUUCGUCGCCAGCAUCAGGAAGGACGGCGGGUUCACCACCUACGCGCCGUGGGUGAAGGGCCGGUUCAGCAUCGCCAGGGACAACGGGCAGAGCUCGGUGACGCUGCAGAUGAACAACCUCAGGGACGAGGAUUCCGCCACCUAUUUCUGCGCCAAGAGCGUCUAUUCCGGCUACAACCGGGGCGGUGCCG